GGCGUCGUGGCCCAAUGGUAAGGCGUCUGACUACGACGGUCCUGGGCGGUUCGCCUGGAUUUCGGGAUCAGGAGAUUGUGGGUUCGAGACCCACCGAUGUCA
Molecule: non-coding RNA, 102 nt
Organism: Microdochium trichocladiopsis
Lineage: Eukaryota; Fungi; Ascomycota; Sordariomycetes; Xylariales; Microdochiaceae
Source: the annotation of a RefSeq genome assembly